RNAcentral lists this long non-coding RNA (296 nucleotides) under Elaeis guineensis (African oil palm). Its description in RNAcentral is "long non-coding RNA (EGUI_LNC025570)". The record is from RNAcentral. Lineage: Eukaryota; Viridiplantae; Streptophyta; Magnoliopsida; Arecales; Arecaceae.
CCUGGCGUGCCAAAUUUGUUGCGGCCAAUCUCCCAUCGCUCGAUCGUCGGUGUCGCGCACCUGCAAAGAAAGUCCUCACAGACCGGAGAUGCCUCCGACGGAGAUCCUCCGAUGGUCAAGUCAGAGAGGAGACUAGGCAACAGUGAAAAAUCAGGGGCUCAGCUUGAGAGGGCCUGAGGAGGCUUAGAAAAGCUUACCAGGACUGUUGCCUUAUCCCUUUUUAUAGUAGAAUGCGGUAUGGUCCCGCCAUUAAUGGUGCAGACAACUGGAGAGUUGUCAAAUCAUCGGGGGUUGUC